GAUGAACGCUGGCGGCGUGCUUAACACAUGCAAGUCAAACGAUGAACCCCGCUUGCGGGGGGAUUAGUGGCGAACGGGUGAGUAACACGUGAGUAACCUGCCCUUAACUCUGGGAUAAGCCUUGGAAACGAGGUCUAAUACUGGAUAUUGACUUUACCUCGCAUGGGGUUUGGUUGAAAGAUUUAUUGGUUUUGGAUGGACUCGCGGCCUAUCAGCUUGUUGGUGAGGUAAUGGCUCACCAAGGCGACAACGGGUAGCCGGCCUGAGAGGGUGACCGGCCACACUGGGACUGAAACACGGCCCAAACUCCUACGGGAGGCAGCAGUGGGGAAUAUUGCACAAUGGGCGAAAGCCUGAUGCAGCGACCCCGCGUGAGGGAUGACGGCCUUCGGGUUGUAAACCUCUUUCAGUAGGGACGAAGCGAAAGUGACGGUACCUACAGAAAAAGGACCGGCCAACUACGUG
This 465-nucleotide ribosomal RNA is filed under the name uncultured bacterium. RNAcentral describes it as "bacterial SSU rRNA". It matches the Rfam family "Bacterial small subunit ribosomal RNA", at positions 28 to 507 of the family's 1533-position model. The record is from RNAcentral.